Molecule: ribosomal RNA, 497 nt
Filed under: uncultured bacterium
Lineage: Bacteria
Description: partial 16S ribosomal RNA
Rfam family: Bacterial small subunit ribosomal RNA
Source: RNAcentral
GAUGAACGCUGGCGGCGUGCCUAAUACAUGCAAGUCGAGCGAACAGACGAGGAGCUUGCUCCUCUGACGUUAGCGGCGGACGGGUGAGUAACACGUGGAUAACCUACCUAUAAGACUGGGAUAACUUCGGGAAACCGGAGCUAAUACCGGAUAAUAUAUUGAACCGCAUGGUUCAAUAGUGAAAGACGGUCUUGCUGUCACUUAUAGAUGGAUCCGCGCCGCAUUAGCUAGUUGGUAAGGUAACGGCUUACCAAGGCAACGAUGCGUAGCCGACCUGAGAGAGUGAUCGGCCACACUGGAACGGAGACACGGUACAGACUCCUACGGGAGGCAGCAGUAGGGAAUCUUCCGCAAUGGGCGAAAGCCUGACGGAGCAACGCCGCGUGAGUGAUGAAGGUCUUCGGAUCGUAAAACUCUGUUAUUAGGGAAGAACAAAUGUGUAAGUAACUAUGCACGUCUUGACGGUACCUAAUCAGAAAGCCACGGCUAACUACGUG